RNAcentral lists this long non-coding RNA (334 nucleotides) under Phoenix dactylifera (date palm). Its description in RNAcentral is "long non-coding RNA (PDAC_LNC018910)". Lineage: Eukaryota; Viridiplantae; Streptophyta; Magnoliopsida; Arecales; Arecaceae. The record is from RNAcentral.
GAUUGGACUAAAGUCCGCCAGGCCCGAUCACGAGCCCCGCCCGAGCCCAUUUGGUUCCCAUAAUAGCUUCCAACAUGCUGUCAACCCUCUAUAAUAGCUUGAAAAGAAAAGACAAGCUACAUGAUGUUAUCUAAAAGGAAAAAGAAAAAUAGCUUCAAAUAUGACAUGUAGCUUCCAAUAUGACGUGCAUAUAAGAAUCAUCUAUUUAUCAGGCUCCAGAACCAAAAUUCCAGGUAGAGAAUCAUGAUAACUUCCAGGUAACGCAGCAUGAAUAAGAACCUUGGAUCCAAAAGACAGACAGAGAGAGAGAGAGAGAGCGCACAUAUUUCCAAAC